Molecule: transfer RNA, 66 nt
Filed under: Lottia goshimai
Lineage: Eukaryota; Metazoa; Mollusca; Gastropoda; Lottiidae
Description: tRNA-Asp
Source: RNAcentral
AGGGGGUAGUUUAACAGAACAUUGGCCUGUCUAGCCUAAAGUGCAUUAAUUAACUAAUGCUCCCCU